RNAcentral lists this ribosomal RNA (253 nucleotides) under uncultured bacterium. RNAcentral describes it as "partial 16S ribosomal RNA". It matches the Rfam family "Bacterial small subunit ribosomal RNA", at positions 524 to 776 of the family's 1533-position model. The record is from RNAcentral.
UACGUAGGGGGCAAGCGUUGUCCGGAAUUAUUGGGCGUAAAGAGCGUGUAGGCGGCCAGAUAAGUCCGCUGUGAAAACUCGAGGCUCAACCUCGAGACGUCGGUGGAAACCGUUUGGCUAGAGUCCGGAAGAGGAGAGUGGAAUUCCCGGUGUAGCGGUGAAAUGCGCAGAUAUCAGGAGGAACACCGAUAGCGAAGGCAGCUCGCUGGGACGGUACUGACGCUGAGGCGCGAAAGCGUGGGGAGCAAACAGG